This 387-nucleotide ribosomal RNA is filed under the name uncultured euryarchaeote. Its description in RNAcentral is "bacterial SSU rRNA". It matches the Rfam family "Archaeal small subunit ribosomal RNA", at positions 474 to 859 of the family's 1478-position model. Lineage: Archaea; Methanobacteriati; Methanobacteriota. The record is from RNAcentral.
CACAGGUAGCCCGAGUGGUGUCCACGAAUAUUGAGCUUAAAGCGUCCGUAGCCGGUUCGGCCAGUUUCCUGUGAAAUCUUUGGGCUUAACCCAUAAGGCGUGCAGGGAAUACUACCGGGCUAGGGAGUGGGGGAGGUCAGAGGUACGCUAGGGGGAGCGGUAAAAUGCUGUAAUCCUUGGCGGACCACCAGUGGCGAAGGCGUCUGACCAAAACACGUCCGACGGUGAGGGACGAAGGCUAGGGGAGCAAAUGGGAUUAGAUACCCCAGUAGUCCUAGCAGUAAAUGAUGCAGAUUAGGCGUUGCGCUUGCCUUGUGCGGGUGCAGUGCCGUAGGGAAACCGUUUAAUCUGCCGCUUGGGGAGUACGGUCGCAAGGCUUAAACUUAA